GGAUUAGAUACCCUAUUAUUUUGGACGUUAAGUGUAAAUUAGCUUGAGUAGUAGUAGAUAUGGUCUUGAAACUUAAAGAAUAUGGCGGUACUUUAGUCUAUUUAGAGGAAUCUGUUUUUUUAUCGAUAAUCCGCGUUGAAUCUUACUUAAAUUAAUUAGUUUGUAUACCGCUAUUUUAUUAAUCUUUAGAGAGUUAAUUUUAUUAAUUUAUUUGUUGUUAUUUUAAGUCAAGGUGCAGCUUAUAUUUGAGUUUAAAUGGAUUACAUUGAUUUUAUUAAUUGGAUUAUUAAUUGUAAUAUUAAUAUGAAAUUGGAUUUAAUAGUAAUUUUAUGAAGAUUGUUAUUAUGAUUUUGGCUCUAAAGUAUGUACAUAUCGCCCGUCACUCUCGUUAUUUUAAGGUGAGAUAAGUC
Molecule: ribosomal RNA, 410 nt
Filed under: Pseudomops oblongata
Lineage: Eukaryota; Metazoa; Arthropoda; Insecta; Blattodea; Blattellidae
Description: partial 12S ribosomal RNA
Source: RNAcentral